UACGUAGGGGGCUAGCGUUGCUCGGAAUCACUGGGCGUAAAGGGUGCGUAGGCGGGUCUUUAAGUCAGGGGUGAAAUCCUGGAGCUCAACUCCAGAACUGCCUUUGAUACUGAAGAUCUUGAGUUCGGGAGAGGUGAGUGGAACUGCGAGUGUAGAGGUGAAAUUCGUAGAUAUUCGCAAGAACACCAGUGGCGAAGGCGGCUCACUGGCCCGAUACUGACGCUGAGACGCGAAAGCGUGGGGAGCGAACAGG
RNAcentral lists this ribosomal RNA (253 nucleotides) under uncultured bacterium. RNAcentral's name for it is "partial 16S ribosomal RNA". It matches the Rfam family "Bacterial small subunit ribosomal RNA", at positions 524 to 776 of the family's 1533-position model. The record is from RNAcentral.